CGGUGGGUCUAGGCGGGGGGCUAGGGGUCCCCUGAAAACCUGUAAAGGUUUGACCGCAAACCCCCUAUAUGGCGGGCCGAAAGCUGAAGUGAGACGCACCCAGCCCCACCCCUUAACCCACCACAAUCCUAAUGAACAACUGUGCCUUAGGGACGGCGGAAGAAGUGGUUCAACGCGUAGGGGUUGGACUGCUACUGUACCGGACGAACCUGGCUAGGCCCGGGAGGGAGCAACCUUAAGUCCGGACGUUUGACGCUUAAGGGGGUGCGGAUGUGAAGGAAGGUGGUUGGUUUAGGUGGGGUAUGGGCGUCCAGCUUCAGGACCCACCG
RNAcentral lists this signal recognition particle RNA (329 nucleotides) under Candidatus Bathyarchaeota archaeon. RNAcentral describes it as "signal recognition particle sRNA". It matches the Rfam family "Archaeal signal recognition particle RNA". The record is from RNAcentral. Lineage: Archaea; Thermoproteati; Candidatus Bathyarchaeota.